GUUCUGGGGACAAUUCGGGAAAUUAACUCUUGUAUUGUUUUAGUAGAGGUUUUACAGCGCUCGCAACUACAUAUGGUCAUAUGAGCCCCAGAAGAGUAGAGGUGUUACAAGAGAGUAACAAACAUAAAAAAGAAGAAGGGGGAGAUAAGGACGAUAGAUGUUUGAUAGGAAAGAAGCCCAUAUCGUUGUUACAAAAAAGGACGUACUGUAUAAUAACACGGAUAGCUCGAAUACGUGCGGACCGGCCUCUGAAGUUUGAGGAAUUCAGUGGACGACAUUGGUCGACAUAUCUUACAAAGAACUGGAUCGAUAACAACAUCUUACAAAGACAAAGAAGGAAGAAAAUGAACGGGACUGCAGGCACAAUUCGACUGAUGUGUAACUUCAGGUCUUUUGUGUUCGACCUAUCCGUAUUAUACUGUAUGUCACAGAACGAGAGAAAAAAGUUCUAUCUUCCAGUCUUAUUUAUAGACAAAAAAGGACAUAUUUCUUGGGUCUUAUUCAUAACAAAGAAAAAGGAAACAUUAAACCUGUCUUAUUGAAAGACGAACAAUACAUUCCCUUUAUCCAUGGUGAAUAAUACAUUUCUCCUUUUAUCCCUUGAGAAAAAUAAAUUUCACGUCUUAUUCACAGAGAAAAAAUACAUUUCCCCUCUUAUUCCUAGAGAAAAAUACAUUUCCCGUCUUAUUCACAGCGAAGAAUACAUUUCUACUCUUUUUCAGAGUGAAAAAUACCUCCUAUGUCACAUUCAUAAAAAGAAAAAGGAAAUAAUUAUUUCUCCUCUUAUUCAUAAAGAAAAAUAAAACAUUUUUCCUGUUUUAUAAAGAAAAGGGUAGAGUAGCUUGACCCCCUCGCAGCCACUGCUGGUGUGCGGCCAGUUCUCAUAACUCGCAUUCCAGUUGCUGUAAGGCUUUGAAUAAACCACUGUAGCUUCUCUUGGGUCUGCCAAUGCGUUCACUUUCAUUUCCGGUCUUUCCCGCUGUUCCGACACACGUGAUGCGAGUUUGAACUUUUCAACCCAGAAAACAUCCCUUUGUGAAAUUUCAGGUGACUUUUUCAUUAGCUCUUACCACAACCUAAAUAUUAUUAUUUUGUCAAGUAAGUGUGGUUUCUGUGUUUUAAAAUGCAUGUUUUUAAGCCUAACAUUGUAUAAAUAUCGCUCAAAUGUAAACUUUCAGAGAAACGUCGAUGGACGCAGCCAGGGCAGGGUAAUUUCUCAUGUGGGCCCACAUGCGGUCGAAUCGGCCGCACCGAGGACAGGCCUUACAGUAGAGGUCCUGGCCGCGGCCAGAGUCCAAAAUGAUAGAUAGCCCUGGUCAAAUAAAGGCAACGGUCUUGAGAUAGAAUCUAGACUUUGUUCUUGAUAGAGGUAGGCUGUUUGCAAAGCUUUUUGUUCACUUAAUAAAGCUAGAUCUAGAUCUACUGGUAACGAAACAAUACGAUAUUUUCAAGCAUGGCACCGAUCUCAGUGGCCUAGUGGUAUGGCGUCCUUUUCGGGAAUGGAAGAUCGUGGGUUCAAUUCCCGACCAGGUCAUACCUAAGACUAAAAAAACUGGCAAUCUAGAUCUAGUAGCUGUCCCACCUGGCGUCGGCAUUAUGGGACGAGUGCUAUGACGGGUUGGCCCGUGAAAGGAAACAAAUCCAAGAAGAGGUUGAGCGAUUCAGACAAUGACACAAGUGCAGGUAUCAAUGUAAGUGAAAUGAUACUGUGUGAUGAAGAUGACCUGCAGUUGGAAGAUUUCAUGGAAGAAGAAUGUUCGACUGAGGAAUCCACCAUGUUUGCUGAAGUGGGGGUUGUGGAAAGACAUGAAACUCCACAGAGAUGACACAUGGACAAUGAAACGCUUGAACUUGAUGAAGGAUCAAGAGUCGGACCACAGACGGAAAGAAAUAGAAACAGUGUUGCUGCUGACAAUGAAGGCAUAGGAAACAAAAGACAAGUGGUUGAAGCAGAAGAAACAGAAAGAGAAGACAUGCUUGAGAGUGACGGAGAUGGGAACAAAAUACCAGUCGUUGGACUUGGAGUAGAAAGAGAAUAACAUGCUAUGCGUGAGAUGAAUGAAGAAGAGGUGGAGGACUGCAACAUGGUCGGAACUGGAAACGAAAUGCAAGCAUUGGCAGAAGCGGAAAGAAGGCCAGACACUGUGAAUGAGGAGAGUGGGGAUUCACUGGUCAGCAUGACGGUGGAGAUUGUACCUUGAGACCAGAGACGUGAGACUUGUCUGUUCUGCUCUUAUCAAGAGUAGACGUAAUCUAGAUCUAGAUCUACCACCCUUGCACUUUUUUGCAUAGAUCUACGCUGUCAUUGAUUUCCAUUUUGUUUGCAUGCUCUGAUCAAAAGUAGAUUGAAUCGCAUCUAAGUUGUAAGUACCAUUCUUUAAUUUUGAACGUUCCCGUUUGCAUUCUGUGUCACUGAUUUCCAUUUCGUUUGCAUGCUCUGAUCAAGAGUCUGUUGAAUCUCAUUAAAGUUGAAUGUAGGCCUACCAUA
RNAcentral lists this long non-coding RNA (2488 nucleotides) under Aplysia californica (California sea hare). Its description in RNAcentral is "uncharacterized LOC118477772". The stretch from base 1469 to 1528 matches the Rfam family "tRNA", at positions 7 to 64 of the family's 71-position model. Lineage: Eukaryota; Metazoa; Mollusca; Gastropoda; Aplysiida; Aplysiidae. The record is from RNAcentral.